Nicotiana tabacum (common tobacco) is the source of this 860-nucleotide long non-coding RNA. RefSeq lists it as uncharacterized. Lineage: Eukaryota; Viridiplantae; Streptophyta; Magnoliopsida; Solanales; Solanaceae. The record is from RefSeq and is a predicted model, not a curated record.
AUAAUAGGAACCACACGGUUUGAACAUUUUGCUUCCUCUCCAAGCACAAUCUGAAAACACACAUAAAAACUCACGGGCUCUAUUCAUAAGAGGGGGCUUCAUUACAAAUUUCAGGAGGGGGGCUGAAGAAACAGGGGAAUAUAACAAAAAAUAUAGAUAGAGAAAGCAUCAAUCGGAAAAGAAAGGCAGCAAAAAAUACUCUAACUGAAUCCGUCUCUUUCUUUCUGUUUAACCGUUGAUAACACCCAUUUUCCACCAUUAAAAGCAUCUCCAAAACUCCAAAAAUCAGUAGCCUUCGAUCAUCUCCUUUCUCAUUAUCCCCACCAUGAAAACCUCCAUUACAACAUCUUAUUCAUCACCAUUAAAAUCAUCUCUUGAAGCUCCAUGAAAAUCUACCAUAGAACAACCCCAAAAAUACCAAAACAGAUCCAACAUCAGUCCUCGAGGAAAGAAUUUCGAAUUGGUCGAGGUUCAUCGAGGUCGCCGGCGCGGUUCACUUUUCUAGUCAGCGCAAGCAGUAGGAUUUUCUUAAAGUUUCUAUGUUAACAUUAUAAAUUUGCUCUCCGUGAGGUAUGAGUUCAUUUACUACAGCUCGAGCAUGACUGAUAUCCCUAGACCAUUCCAGUCAGGACCGUUGCAUGCAUGAUCUGCUUGAAGGUACUUUUGUGUUUUGAGUCUAUUAUCCAUGUUGUCUUUUACUGUCUAGUAUGGUACAGUAGUAUUUAGUCUUUUAGUUGGUGUCAGUUUGUCGCAAUCUAGUUCAGUUUGUUGAGUCUUUUGUUAUCGUACUUCCUAUGAUGUAUUUGAAAAUCAAAAAAAAUUAUAAAUGAAAAAUCCAAAAGAUUUUGUUUCUUAGUUUA